Long non-coding RNA from Austrofundulus limnaeus, 1654 nucleotides. RefSeq lists it as uncharacterized. The transcript is spliced from 3 exons. The record is from RefSeq and is a predicted model, not a curated record. Lineage: Eukaryota; Metazoa; Chordata; Actinopteri; Cyprinodontiformes; Rivulidae.
AACAACACAGAGAGAGAGAGAGAGAGAGAGCAAGAGAGAGGGAGAGAGGGUGGGGAGAUGAGAGGGAGUGGUGAAAAGCAGGCCAUGUACAACACAACUACACUCCUCUCUCUGUCAGAGGCAGGAAGUUGGCAGCGGUGCUGUAGCUGCAUCAUUAAUAGACACAUUGCAACACGAGUGGGAGGGCAAAAAUGAGCGAGCAGUGAAAUAGGAAGAAAGAGCCUCAGCAGUGUGUGAGAGAGGAGGGAGGGGAGAAGAAGGAAACACGGAUCAGAGUGGGUGAAAUGGAGAAUGCAAGAGGGAGGCAAUUAGAGCAAAAGAGAGGAAAAGGAGAAAAUGCAAAAGAGAACACUGAUGUUAAUCACUACAGACAGUAUCGAUUAAAAAUGCAAAGCCCUCCUGGAGCGCAGGGACACCAGAGGCUCAUGGGAGACAGGAAGCGUGCACGCUGCCGAGAGUGUGUGCACGUGCUCACAACAAACGCAAGCAGCAGUUGGUUGGGCAAAAUGCAGUAGCUGGCAAACCACUGGUUCAUCAACUGCACGGAGCUGCAGCAACAACAAAGCAACCCAGUUGAGUUAAAGCUCUGUUUACAAACUWCACAUUCCUGUUUUCUGUCACUCACAUCUCAUACACUAAAAGACAAAAAACGUGUCUCCUAUAAUCAGAGCUGACAAGCACAUUCCCCACACGGCAGCGUACAGGCAGAGGCAUCACAGCUAAAUGUCACACACAGUGUCAGACACCGCUGUCAGCACCAAGACACAAUGAACAACCCUGCGGGCCUCCUCUUCUUCUCCUCUCCUUUCAUUUCCCCUUCAUAGGCAGAUACCUUUGGUGUUGUUGWUGUUCUUUUAGUCUGCGAGCACUCUCAUCUCUGAUGUUUUGUUUAGGCACGGUGUGUGGGCUCAGCGUUUACAGCCACUGUAAGAUGGGGACCUCUGAACAAAGGAAGACGGGGAAGAACUAAUCCUUUUCCAGAGCUGCCGGAGAGAAAAACGACGAGAUAAAAUGUGGGAGAAGAAACACCUGAGGUGUGUGUGGCUGCUAUUUUGCGGGGAUGUUAGAGUUGAUCUUUCAGCCAGCUACUCCACUUUUUGUUAUUGUUGUUGUUGUUUUUUAAGAAGGUGCAGACAUUACCCCUCUGUCAACAUAACAGCACGUUGCUCAAAAAAAAUCUCUCAGAGAGAAUGAACUCCCACUUCUGUUCGCCUCCCUCUCCCCCGCUGUGGGAACACGCAACGGCAGCAGCUCAAUAACAAUAUGUGACAGACGACAACGUGCUUGCACACAGACACACUCGGCUCGCGGAGGCACACGUCUCCUCUUGUCCUCAAACAACGAGCCGCUGCAUGUAAACAACCUCACUCCUUCACAUUUCUCUACGACGUGGCGUCCUUCGCACCUCGGAUGAGUUUGUGCCAUCAGUAGUUACCUCUCAGUGUUUUUUUUWWAUUUAUUUUUCUGUUCUGUUGUUUCGUUCGCAGACGUUCUCAGAUACCCUUCAUGUCGGUUGAUUACCUUUUUUGUCUUCUUCUGUCGUCUCUCCCCCGCCACGCUCGCUGUGGAGAAAGUCCUCCCAGGUCAGCCACGCAGAGGAAACCAAGCUGAGAAAUGUCCACUCUGAUGAGCAGAUGCAGAUAAGAGACACAAA